This 774-nucleotide ribosomal RNA is filed under the name uncultured archaeon. RNAcentral describes it as "bacterial SSU rRNA". It matches the Rfam family "Archaeal small subunit ribosomal RNA", at positions 1 to 779 of the family's 1478-position model. The record is from RNAcentral.
UUCCGGUUGAUCCUGCCGGAGGUCACUGCUAUUGGGGUCCGACUAAGCCAUGCGAGUCAUAGUUCUUCGUAAACUAGGCGGACGGCUCAGUAGCACGUGGGUAAUCUACCCUCAGGACAGGGAUAACCCCGGGAAACUGGGGAUAAUACCUGAUAGGUGGAGAGGUCUGGAAUGAUCCUCCGCCCAAAGCUCCGGCGCCUGAGGAUGAGCCUGCGGCCGAUUAGGUUAGUUGGCGGUGUAACGGACCACCAAGCCUGAGAUCGGUACGGGCACUGAGAGGUGGAGCCCGGAGAUGGGGGCUGAGAAACGGCCCCAGGCCCUACGGGGCGCAGCAGGCGCGAAAACUCCGCAAUACGCGAAAGCGUGACGGGGGGACCCCAAGUGUCAUGCCUUCGGGUAUGACUUUUGCAGAGUGUAAACAGCUCUGCGAAUAAGAGCUGGGUAAGACCGGUGCCAGCCGCCGCGGUAACACCGGCAGCUCGAGUGGUGGCCACUAUUAUUGGGCCUAAAGCGUCCGUAGCCGGCUCGGUAAGUCCUUGGGAAAAUCCGCUCGUUCCACGAACGGGACCCUGAGGAUACUGCCGAACUUGGGAACGAGAGAAGUCGGAAGUACUCCUGGGGUAGCGGUGAAAUGCUGUAAUCCUGGGGGGACUACCAGUGGCGAAGGCGUUCGACUAGAGCGGGUUCGACGGUGAGGGACGAAAGCCAGGGGAGCGAACGGGAUUAGAUACCCCGGUAGUCCUGGCCGUAAACGCUGUGGGCUAAGUGUUGCAC